RNAcentral lists this ribosomal RNA (495 nucleotides) under uncultured fungus. Its description in RNAcentral is "eukaryotic LSU rRNA". The stretch from base 320 to 495 matches the Rfam family "Eukaryotic large subunit ribosomal RNA", at positions 1 to 171 of the family's 3401-position model. Lineage: Eukaryota; Fungi. The record is from RNAcentral.
GAUCUACAGUGAAUCAUCGAAUCUUUGAACGCACCUUGCGCUCCUCGGUGUUCCGAGGAGCAUGCCUGUUCGAGUGUCAGUAAAUUCUCAACCUCUCUCGAUUUGUUUCGAGCGGGCGUUUGGAUAGUGGGGGCUGCCGGAGACCUGGAUUUAUUUCGGGACUCGGGCUCUCCUGAAAUGCAUCGGCUUGCGGUUGACUUUCGACUUUGCAUGACAAGGCCUUCGGCGUGAUAAUGAUCGUCGUUAGCUGAAGUGCACGAAUGAACCGUCCUGCGCCUCUAAUACGUCGACGCUUUCCAGCGUCUUCCUUAUUGACGUUUGACCUCGAAUCAGGUAGGACUACCCGCUGAACUUAAGCAUAUCAAUAAGCGGAGGAAAAGAAACUAACAAGGAUUCCCCUAGUAACUGCGAGUGAACCGGGAAGAGCUCAAAAUUUUGAAUCUGGCGGUCUUUUCGGCCGUCCGAGUUGUAAUCUAGAGAAGCGUUCUUCCGCGC